ACUGGUCAUACUAUUUGUAAUUAAUAUAUGGCAGUAAAGACAGAUACACAGGUAAGGAAGAACACAAGAAAACAGAUACAGUGAAAGACCGGAAGGGGAAGAAAGAUGAAAGCUUAACCUUUUGACCAUCCAGAGGACUCCCUACAGAAGCAUGAGGAGACCCAAUUACCUGAUUAGCUGCUUCCUCUUCUGGCUCCUGAAUAUUAAAAACAGUUGCACUGUCAGCACCUAGUAAUCGACGAGCCAUUCUCUCUUCAUAUGUUAACCUCUAAACAAAGCAAGUCACAGAAAAUACAAAAUUAGAAAAUUCACAAUUACAUACUGCCUCAUAAGGAAUUUUAAAAAAUGAGUUUUGGUGUUUUCUGUAACUAUUUUCUCUCAACCUUCAGAUACCUGUAUAUAAAAGGAGUCUGUUUCAUUCAGUUGUUCAGUUGUUCUCUCACCUCCCUUUCCGGUCUUAGUGGCUUAAUCCUGUGUUGGGAGGUGGGGUAACUACUCUCGAGAGCCACCAACUGAUACAGCACAAAUUUAAGGUGAAUAUAAUAACCAAACAAAGCAGAAACCACAAAGAAAAUACCUGUCAAAUGCUAAUCCUUAAGGAUGCA
Lontra canadensis (Northern American river otter) is the source of this 605-nucleotide long non-coding RNA. RefSeq lists it as uncharacterized. The transcript is spliced from 2 exons. Lineage: Eukaryota; Metazoa; Chordata; Mammalia; Carnivora; Mustelidae. The record is from RefSeq and is a predicted model, not a curated record.